AUUCUGCCCAUGCGGGGAAGGAUGAGAAGCUUCGACCAAGGUUCGACUCGAGCGCCAGCGAGAGAGCGUUGCCGCAGGCAACGACCCGAAGGGCGAAGCGGGCAGCGCUGAGUAAUCCUUCCCCCACCACCA
This 132-nucleotide small RNA is filed under the name Escherichia coli. RNAcentral's name for it is "RtT sRNA". It matches the Rfam family "RtT RNA". Rfam says of the family: This family represents a bacterial cis-regulatory element known as RtT RNA. Lineage: Bacteria; Pseudomonadati; Pseudomonadota; Gammaproteobacteria; Enterobacterales; Enterobacteriaceae. The record is from RNAcentral.